UCGGAAGUAGUUUAAAUGUAAAAAUGUUAAAUUGUCAAUUUAAAGAUGUCUACGGGUCUUUCGUU
RNAcentral lists this transfer RNA (65 nucleotides) under Meretrix lamarckii (Korean hard clam). Its description in RNAcentral is "tRNA-Asp". It matches the Rfam family "tRNA". Rfam says of the family: Transfer RNA (tRNA) molecules are approximately 80 nucleotides in length. Their secondary structure includes four short double-helical elements and three loops (D, anti-codon, and T loops). Further hydrogen bonds mediate the characteristic L-shaped molecular structure. tRNAs have two regions of fundamental functional importance: the anti-codon, which is responsible for specific mRNA codon recognition, and the 3' end, to which the tRNAs corresponding amino acid is attached (by aminoacyl-tRNA synthetases). tRNAs cope with the degeneracy of the genetic code in two manners: having more than one tRNA (with a specific anti-codon) for a particular amino acid; and 'wobble' base-pairing, i.e. permitting non-standard base-pairing at the 3rd anti-codon position. The record is from RNAcentral. Lineage: Eukaryota; Metazoa; Mollusca; Bivalvia; Venerida; Veneridae.